RNAcentral lists this ribosomal RNA (468 nucleotides) under uncultured bacterium. RNAcentral's name for it is "partial 16S ribosomal RNA". It matches the Rfam family "Bacterial small subunit ribosomal RNA", at positions 28 to 507 of the family's 1533-position model. The record is from RNAcentral.
GACGAACGCUGGCGGCGUGCUUAACACAUGCAAGUCGAACGGAAAGGCCCUGCUUUUGUGGGGUGCUCGAGUGGCGAACGGGUGAGUAACACGUGAGUAACCUGCCCUUGACUUUGGGAUAACUUCAGGAAACUGGGGCUAAUACCGGAUAGGAGCUCCUGCUACUUGGUGGGGGUUGGAAAGUUUCGGCGGUUGGGGUUGUACUCGCGGCUUAUCAGCUUGUUGGUGGGGUAGUGGCUUACCAAAGCUUUGACGGGUAGCCGGCCUGAGAGGGUGGCCGGGCACAUGGGGACUGAGAUACGGCGCAGACUCCUACGGGGGGCAACAGGAGAGAAUAUUGCACAAUGGUCGGAAGCCUGAUGCAGAACCGCCGCGUGCGGGAUGACGGCCAUCUGGUUGUAAACCGCUGUCGGCUGUGACGAAGCGGGAGUGACGGUAAUAGAAAAAGAAGCACCGGCUAACUACGUG